Molecule: long non-coding RNA, 682 nt
Filed under: Nicotiana benthamiana
Lineage: Eukaryota; Viridiplantae; Streptophyta; Magnoliopsida; Solanales; Solanaceae
Description: long non-coding RNA (NBEN_LNC007779)
Source: RNAcentral
AAAUCAAUCCCUUCAACUUGUGUAUCACCCCUAAUAACAAGCCUUGCUUUAUACCUUUCAACAAGACCAUCAGACUUGCCAAUGGGUUCAGGAGGAAGAGGAACAACAUCCCAGGUAUGAUUAGCUUCCAAAGCAUCAAACUCCUGUCUCAUUGCAUCCUGCCAUGCUGGGACAGAUGCAGCUUGAGAGUAAUACAAAGGUUCAGAUUCCAAAGUAGAAGAAGAUAUCAAACUCCUGUCUCAUUGCAUCCUGCCAUGCUGGGACAGAUGCAGCUUGAGAGUAAUACAAAGGUUCAGAUUCCAAAGUAGAAAAAGAGGAACCAGAAAAGGCAGGGAGUUGACAGACAUAAUCCUUAAGAUAGGAAGGAGGAUUAUGCUGUCUAGUGGAUUUUCUAGGAGUAGGAAGAGGAUGUGAAUGAGGUAAAACAGGAGGAGAGAUAUCAUGAUUGAAAGAAGGAAGGGAAGAUGGAGCAGCAUCAAUAGAAUCAGAAUAGGAGAAUCAGAUGUAAAAUUAGGAACAGGAGAAUCAGGAGAAGCAGGUAUAGGAAAAUCUGUGUCAGGGAAAUGUUCAGCAGGAGGAAUAGAAGGAAAGGAUGAAGGAGAAGGGUGAGCAGAAGAAGGUUUAUUCUUAAAAGGAAAACAAGUUUCAUGGAAGACAACAUCCCUGGAGACAAAACACUUCU